Molecule: ribosomal RNA, 429 nt
Filed under: Chloroflexota bacterium
Lineage: Bacteria; Bacillati; Chloroflexota
Description: Chloroflexi bacterium partial 16S ribosomal RNA
Rfam family: Bacterial small subunit ribosomal RNA
Source: RNAcentral
UGGGGAAUAUUGCACAAUGGGCGCAAGCCUGAUGCAGCCAUGCCGCGUGUGUGAAGACGGCCUUCGGGUUGUAAAGCACUUUCAGCGGGGAGGAAGGCGUUAAGGUUAAUAACCUUGGCGAUUGACGUUACCCGCAGAAGAAGCACCGGCUAACUCCGUGCCAGCAGCCGCGGUAAGACGGAGGGUGCAAGCGUUAAUCGGAAUUACUGGGCGUAAAGCGCACGCAGGCGGUCUGUCAAGUCGGAUGUGAAAUCCCCGGGCUCAACCUGGGAACUGCAUUCGAAACUGGCAGGCUAGAGUACUGUAGAGGGGGGUAGAAUUCCAGGUGUAGCGGUGAAAUGCGUAGUGAUCUGGAGGAAUACCGGUGGCGAAGGCGGCCCCCUGGACAAAGACUGACGCUCAGGUGCGAAAGCGUGGGGAGCAAACAGG